This is a long non-coding RNA of Saccostrea cuccullata (small rock oyster), 719 nucleotides long. RefSeq lists it as uncharacterized. The transcript has 3 exons. NCBI's taxonomy places the organism in Eukaryota, Metazoa, Mollusca, Bivalvia, Ostreida, Ostreidae. The record is from RefSeq and is a predicted model, not a curated record.
GAUUACCGCUUCGCAUUAGAUUUUAAGCCUCGCAGCGGACUUGGAAAGUCUGUCAUGUCGUUUGUUGCCCGAUUAUUGAAAAGAAGAGGGGAAAGUGGAUUGAGUUAAACAGGGCUCCAGAAGGUACUAGAAAAGGACAAUGCUUCGACUGAAUGUGUCAUCCAUGUACCAUUAUCUGUUAAUGGGGUUUAUCUCAUAGUUUUCUUAUAUGAAAACUUCCAAGUAAUAGAUGAUGGAAUUCAUUUUAAAUCAGUUUGCACCAUUCCGCUACAAAUACCUAGUACUUUGCCGAUGGAACAGACACCAAUCAAUCGCUCACUACACUGAUAAUUCAUUAUAAAUGGUAGGAGAAUUUCCUUUGGGACAAACAAACUGUUUCAACAUUUUUCAUAUACAAGUUGAUACUGAUGAAAUUUUGUUUGAAGUAAACUAAAGAAUGAUGAGUACUAAAAGUACAAGCCAGGUGAAAUACAAAAGGAUUGAUACAAGUCAUUUAAAAUUUUCAUUUCUUUGCAGGUAGCGAAGAGUACACUGAAAGUAUUCUCAGGAUCUCGUCCGACAUCAUAGGUACAACUGGUCACUGUGCUUUCUUGGUUAUGUAAGCAGGCUUAUUGUGAAGGCUGUGAUUUACGUAGCUCCAAUUCCAAAUGAUGCUUGACUGUUUUCCAUCAUAUCGAUAUCUGAUGCAGUAACAUAGAGCCAUGUCAUGUUUAAAUUAC